Molecule: transfer RNA, 62 nt
Filed under: Causus defilippii (snouted night adder)
Lineage: Eukaryota; Metazoa; Chordata; Lepidosauria; Squamata; Viperidae
Description: tRNA-Pro
Source: RNAcentral
CAAAAAGUAGUUUAUUGAGAAUACUGGCUUUGGGGGCCAGAGGUGGGAAACACCCUUUUUGA